CAUCGCCUCUAGAAAUAUAAAAUUAGAGGUCAUUCCUGCCCAGUGACAAAUAUUGUUUAACGGCCGCGGUACCCUGACCGUGCUAAGGUAGCAUAAUCAUUUGCCCUUUAAUUGGGGGCUAGUAUGAACGGAUUUUCGAAAGUAAAGCUGUCUCUCUUGAAGCCCUAAAAAUUAUCGUUUAGGUGAAGAGACCUAAAUAUUAUAAAAAGACGAAAAGACCCUAUGGAGCUUUACCUAACAAAAAGAGCCACGUAAAAUACCCUAUUCUUUUUUAAGGUUUAGUUGGGGCGACUAAGGAGCAAAACAAACCCUCCUUGAUUUACUAGGAUAAUAAUCCAUAUAUUAGAUCCACUAACGUGAAUAAAGAAUCAGCUACCCUAGGGAUAACAGGCUAAUCCUUCUUGAGAGCCCAAAUUGACAGAAGGGGUUGGCACCUCGAUGUUGGCUUAAAGUUCCUUCAAAGUGCAGCAGCUUUGAUAGUAGGUUUGUUCAACCUUUAAAACUUUACGUGAUCUGA
Molecule: ribosomal RNA, 517 nt
Filed under: Prionospio kirrae
Lineage: Eukaryota; Metazoa; Annelida; Polychaeta; Spionida; Spionidae
Description: partial large subunit ribosomal RNA
Rfam family: Bacterial large subunit ribosomal RNA
Source: RNAcentral